CCUCGCUUAACUCAGUUGGUAGAGUGCCUGACUGUAGAUCAGGAUGUCCCCGGUUCAAGUCCGGGAGCGGGGACCA
This 76-nucleotide transfer RNA is filed under the name Methanobacteriota archaeon. RNAcentral describes it as "Euryarchaeota archaeon tRNA-Tyr". It matches the Rfam family "tRNA". From Rfam's summary of the family: Transfer RNA (tRNA) molecules are approximately 80 nucleotides in length. Their secondary structure includes four short double-helical elements and three loops (D, anti-codon, and T loops). The record is from RNAcentral. Lineage: Archaea; Methanobacteriati; Methanobacteriota. RNAcentral also lists the same sequence under 1 other name.